RNAcentral lists this ribosomal RNA (426 nucleotides) under uncultured Enterobacteriaceae bacterium. Its description in RNAcentral is "bacterial SSU rRNA". It matches the Rfam family "Bacterial small subunit ribosomal RNA", at positions 356 to 774 of the family's 1533-position model. The record is from RNAcentral. Lineage: Bacteria; Pseudomonadati; Pseudomonadota; Gammaproteobacteria; Enterobacterales; Enterobacteriaceae.
GGGGAAUUUUGGACAAUGGGCGCAAGCCUGAUCCAGCAAUGCCGCGUGCAGGAUGAAGGCCUUCGGGUUGUAAACUGCUUUUGUACGGAACGAAAAGCCUCUCUCUAAUACAGGGGGGUGAUGACGGUACCGUAAGAAUAAGCACCGGCUAACUACGUGCCAGCAGCCGCGGUAAUACGGAGGGUGCAAGCGUUAAUCGGAAUUACUGGGCGUAAAGCGCACGCAGGCGGUCUGUCAAGUCGGAUGUGAAAUCCCCGGGCUCAACCUGGGAACUGCAUUCGAAACUGGCAGGCUAGAGUCUUGUAGAGGGGGGUAGAAUUCCAGGUGUAGCGGUGAAAUGCGUAGAGAUCUGGAGGAAUACCGGUGGCGAAGGCGGCCCCCUGGACAAAGACUGACGCUCAGGUGCGAAAGCGUGGGGAGCAAACA